GCCUUGGCAGGGCCAGCGUCGCUCAGCACUGGGCAUGGCGGCUGGCGGGCGGGGAGGAAGAGGGAGCGAUGGGGAGAAAUUCAAAGGGAGCCCCUCAAAGGCCCCGCCCGCCCCCCACCAGGCAGGCAGAGGGGUCCGAGGAGGAAAAUGGCCUUCGCUGUGCAGUGACCCGGGACAAGGAUGCGCGUCCAGGGGAAGCCCCAGCGCUCUCGUGGCAGUCUGCGCUGGGGGGGGGGGGUUCCCCUGCCCCAACGCCAAUACGGGAGGCUGUUCUGCCAUACACGUGUGGCCCAGAUUGAGAAGAGGGGGAGGGGAGGAAACCGACGGCUGCUGGGGGGCUUCGGAGAGCCUGGUGGAGUUGUGAACCGCUCUGACUAGUCUAGAAAACCCCUCGGCAGGCCUCUAGACGGACACAGGCAAAGGCCUCCUCGACAAAAAUCCCCUUUUGGUUGUGGCAAAGAACUGAAAAUAAAAUGGCGCCCAUCCGCGGGGAAGUGGGGCUCCGUGAGAGGUCAAGGAAGAGGCCUUCCCAAGAGCGGCCCUCUGCGACCUCGGGUGAGGGCUGGGCCCAGGCCUCUGUGCUUGGGGAGAGAAGGGAGCGCCACGGCCCCGCCCCCACCCCUGGGGGGGCCCCUGCCCCCCUUCCCGUGGCCGAUUUUCAGGAUUACACCAAGAUCGGGCACACGUGGGUCAGGAGAGCAACAGAAGGUGCCAGAACAGCCCCAAAAGCUGCUCGGAGGGGGAGCUGCGGAGGCAACGCACACACGGAGGCUGGUCAGACGGGCUGGUCAGGACGCCCAGCCGCGGACGCGAGCAGCGCAGCCACCUGUCGGCCUCCCUGAGCUGUCAUCGUCCUGCUCGUGAAUUGUUACUAAGAGAGAAAGUAAAGGCUUAAAAGAAAAAGGGAGGAAAGAAUGCUCAGAAGAAAGGAGUCACCAGGUACUCAGGUCAAGAAAUAAGAUUCAGAAGAGAAAAGGCAGCUUCUGGAGUAGGAUUAUCUUUCUUCCAACCCCCCAAAAGAUGGCCACCCAUUCUCCAACUGGAGGGAUGCCAGUGUUGGGAGAAUGCUGACCAAUGUUAACCUUAUUCUCUAGUUCCUCUCCAACCUCCCAGGCUAAGUAAGGCUUCCCACCCCACUCCAGCUCUCCUUCCCCAGCGGACCCAGGCCCACCCUCUUACCCGGGCCAGAUCCAAAUCAGCCUGCUUGCGGUGUCUCCAAAAUAAGAUCGAGGGUCCUGAGUGGGGCCUGGUGAUGGGCUCGCCAUAGAUGAAGAGGCGGAUGAAGGCCGCCACGACCACCAACAGAUUAAGCAACCAGAAAAACAAAGUGGGCAGUAGCCACUGAGACCAGCUGGGGCUACCUGGUAUGGGGAGAAGAUUGGGCAAGGUUGGGGGGGAGGUAAGGCAGUCCGACUCCUGCUCCUGCUUCGACCUGCUCUGCAGGUGCCAAGAACACCACCUUCUCCUCUCCUCUACCCUUCCCCACCUGCAAAAUAAAACUGUUCUCUGCAGAGUGGCA
This is a non-coding RNA of Monodelphis domestica (gray short-tailed opossum), 1519 nucleotides long. Lineage: Eukaryota; Metazoa; Chordata; Mammalia; Didelphimorphia; Didelphidae. The record is from RefSeq and is a predicted model, not a curated record.